GAUGAACGCUGGCGGCGUGCCUAAUACAUGCAAGUCGAGCGAACGGACGAGAAGCUUGCUUCUCUGAUGUUAUCGGCGGACGGGUGAGUAACACGUGGAUAACCUACCUAUAAGACUGGGAUAACUUCGGGAAACCGGAGCUAAUACCGGAUAAUAUUUUGAACCGCAUGGUUCAAAAGUGAAAGACGGUCUUGCUGUCACUUAUAGAUGGAUCCGCGCUGCAUUAGCUAGUUGGUAAGGUAACGGCUUACCAAGGCAACGAUGCAUAGCCGACCUGAGAGGGUGAUCGGCCACACUGGAACUGAGACACGGUCCAGACUCCUACGGGAGGCAGCAGUAGGGAAUCUUCCGCAAUGGGCGAAAGCCUGACGGAGCAACGCCGCGUGAGUGAUGAAGGUCUUCGGAUCGUAAAACCCUGUUAUUAGGGAAGAACAUAUGUGUAAGUAACUGUGCACAUCUUGACGGUACCUAAUCAGAAAGCCACGGCUAACUACGUG
This 497-nucleotide ribosomal RNA is filed under the name uncultured bacterium. Its description in RNAcentral is "partial 16S ribosomal RNA". It matches the Rfam family "Bacterial small subunit ribosomal RNA", at positions 28 to 507 of the family's 1533-position model. The record is from RNAcentral.